RNAcentral lists this non-coding RNA (30 nucleotides) under Cricetulus griseus (Chinese hamster). The record is from RNAcentral. Lineage: Eukaryota; Metazoa; Chordata; Mammalia; Rodentia; Cricetidae.
AACAUCAAUGGAUUCUCGACUUCAAAGGAU